RNAcentral lists this transfer RNA (72 nucleotides) under Minisyncoccota bacterium. Its description in RNAcentral is "tRNA-Trp". It matches the Rfam family "tRNA". Rfam says of the family: Transfer RNA (tRNA) molecules are approximately 80 nucleotides in length. Their secondary structure includes four short double-helical elements and three loops (D, anti-codon, and T loops). Further hydrogen bonds mediate the characteristic L-shaped molecular structure. tRNAs have two regions of fundamental functional importance: the anti-codon, which is responsible for specific mRNA codon recognition, and the 3' end, to which the tRNAs corresponding amino acid is attached (by aminoacyl-tRNA synthetases). tRNAs cope with the degeneracy of the genetic code in two manners: having more than one tRNA (with a specific anti-codon) for a particular amino acid; and 'wobble' base-pairing, i.e. permitting non-standard base-pairing at the 3rd anti-codon position. Lineage: Bacteria; Bacillati; Minisyncoccota. The record is from RNAcentral.
GGGCUUAUAGUUUCAAUGGUAAAAUAUCGGUCUCCAAAACCGCAGUUCCAGGUUCGAGUCCUGGUGGGCCCG